AUAUAAAAUUAAGCUCAUAUGCUUUUAAAAAUACUAAGUUAUUGGUGCUUGUAGAUUUUUGGCCAUUGGAUUAAGAGAUGUGCGGUUAGGAUGAUGUGGGCCCUCUAGGGUUGACUUGAGUGGGUGAUUGGUCGAAUAAUAUAAUUUAGCGGUUGAAAAUGAUAAAAAAACGUAAAUCUAACGGUAAAAAAUUUACAAGUAAAAAAUUUACAAAAUUAUGUGUAACACAUGCGACUAAAAUGAUUAU
RNAcentral lists this long non-coding RNA (247 nucleotides) under Ananas comosus (pineapple). RNAcentral describes it as "long non-coding RNA (ACOM_LNC011782)". The record is from RNAcentral. Lineage: Eukaryota; Viridiplantae; Streptophyta; Magnoliopsida; Poales; Bromeliaceae.